Molecule: RNA transcript, 3267 nt
Organism: Helianthus annuus (common sunflower)
Lineage: Eukaryota; Viridiplantae; Streptophyta; Magnoliopsida; Asterales; Asteraceae
Gene name: peroxisomal membrane protein 11D-like
Exons: 6
Source: RefSeq, a predicted model, not a curated record
UUCUCAUUCUCAUAGCAUUUUAUCCGCCCCCAUCGAGCUGUUUAUCUCCAGGCGAUUCAAAAGGAAAUAGGGUUUCUCUUGGCGAUGCAAGAUCUGGCUCCAGAUCAGCGAAUCUCUCUCUAUACGACACCCAAUCGACUGAGUUUGAAGGUGGUGAAGGGUUUGGAUCUGCCAAUCUGUGACGUAUGAGCAAGGGGGUGUUUGGUCUGCCAAUCGGUGAUGUAUGAGCAUGAUUUCACAAGAUCUAAAGACGGCGUGGUGUGUAGAGACGAGUUCUGGUUUUAGAUGGUGGUUGAAGUAGGUUCCGACAAACUGAUGUAUGUCUGACGACCUCUUUUUUAUUUGUUUAGGUCACAAGCUUCAGAUCUCUUCUCUGACUUUUUGGUAAUUUUAUUCCUGCAGUUAGAAGAACAUCACAUGUAUGUUUUUAACCAUAUCGACAUUUUUGUUUGUUAUUUGACAUGGAUCUGUGAAAUAGUGUCAGAUUUGUGUUGGGUUCUUCAAAUAUAGUGGUCGUGCAUCUGUGAAAUAGUUUCAAAUAUGUGUUGUGUUCUUCAAGGAUAUGUAUUUGAUAUGGAUCUGUGAAAUAGAUUCAGAUCUGUUAAUUUUUUCUAGCAGAUCUGUUAUAAUGCUAUUACGUUUAAAAAGAUGAAAGUCAAAUCUGGGUUUGGUGAAAGAGUAUUUGACAUGGAUCUGUGAAAUAGACAGCAAUAUGUAUUUUAUUUCUGAAAUCUUUGAUGCAAUUUCUGAUAGUUUAAUUUAGCGAUUCUGUUGUGUGUUCUACUCAUCGAGUGAAUUUAUUAGUUGAUUUGAUAUGUUGGGUAAGAUUUAUUGUUGAUCUUUCAUUGUUGUGUGUUCUGAUUUUCGAUUGUUGACCUUUGGUUGAUGCUUGAUUUUGUACGAAACCCUAUCUGGUAACUGAAAAUUGUACAUAUUAUUGAAUUUAAUUGUUGUAAUAUUGUUAAAGAUAUGUACAAUUUACUUCUUCUGUUGAAUCAAUACUUUUGACUGUAAAUGAAAUAUUAUGGUUACACUUGAAGAUUUGUGGGAAUUGUAUGAGUUUGGAGGGACAUUUAUUGCUGUUUGAUUGAUUAUUUUCUUUAUGUUGCGAGAAUGGAACUUGCUCUAGCUAUUUUGUAUUUGAACAAAGCUGAAACCCCGGACAAGAUAUGCAGAGCAAUACAAUACGGUUCAAAGUUCGUAAGUAAUGGCGAGCCAGGCACUGCCCAAAAUGUUGACAAGUCAACUAGCUUGGCUACGAAAGUUUUCCGUCUUUUUAAGUUUGUCAGUGAUUUGCAUGCUAUUAUCAGUCCAACUGCUCCAGGAACUCCGCUUCCGCUUGUUUUGCUGGGGAAGACUUUCAGUCGAAAAAUGGCCACUUAUAUCUCGGUACAGGCCUUCUGUCCGUUCACAAUCUGGGGAUUAUUGAUGCACAUUUGGAAUAUAUUUUCAAAACUGAUUCGGGGUAUGAAACCGGUUCCAGCUCUAAUCAAUGUGUUCAAUAACUGGGUAUUGGUCAAUCCAGGUCGGGUAUGGAAUUGGUUUUGGAGAUGGAAGUGACCGGUUCCGGUCCUGGGUUGUUUUGGGUAUUGACUAGCUCGGGUCGCGUAUAACCAAGUUGGAACCGUUUUUAAAGCAUGGAGUUACAAACUGGUGGUUAAGGUCUGGUAUGGAACCGAUUCCUAAUACCCAGUUUCUAGCAAAGCCCAGUUCUGGUUUUUUUUUUGUCAGUGAAAUUGAUUGGUAAACUACAAGAUGGUACCGUGUUCAUCAAAAAAGGUCACGAUGAUUCCCAGCCUUUCGAGUUCAAGGAAGAUGAAGAGCAAGUGAUUGACGGAUUGGAUCGAGCUGUUAUGACAAUGAAGAAAGGGGAAGUAGCUCUUCUGAAAGUCGCACCAGAAUAUGCCUUUGGUUCUACCGGUUCCGAGAAAGAAUUAGCGGUGGUUCCCCCUAAUGCUACUGUUACUGAUGGUUGUUGCCAGAGGAACUCCUUGGUUUUCAGGUGCUGAUUUGGCAAAUUUGGUAAACGUGGCGGCUCUUAAGGCGGCAAUGGACAGUGCAAAAUCGGUAAGCAUGGCUGAUUUAGGGUUAUAGCGACUCAUAGCGAGAAUAGCGACAAUUAAUUUCUUUUGAUAUAAAUAGCAAGUAAAUAUAACUCUAAAAUGGCUGGAUUAUAGGUUUUUGUUAAAUAUAUAUGUAAAAUGGCAUAUAUACCAGGGUAUUUUGAUAUAGUAUACAUAUAAAAAUAUUUAAAAAAAAUUUAAGUGUAGCGCUAUUUAUAAAAUUGCCGACCACUAUUUAUCGCUAUUCGCUAUGUGGCUUAUAGGUACCUUAUCGCUAUUUGCUAUGUGGCUUAUAGGUACCUUAUCGCUAUUCGCUAUGUGGCUUAUAGGUACCUUAUCGCUAUUCGCUAUGUGGCUUAUAGGUACCUUAUCGCUAUUCGCUAUGUGGCUUAUAGGUACCUUAUCGCUAUAGCGAUUUUUGUUAUGGGGCGUUUGGACAUGCGUUUCAAAACUGAUUAUGUGAUGUUAAAUAACCUAAUAAUAUCUUAGUGCUUAGUGAUAAAAUGAUCUAAUAGGACAUAAUAUUGAAAAAAGGGGUUAGCUGGUCGUAAAAUGGGAAUAAAGUUCUCUCAAAUUAGACUAAGAGGUAAUUUCUUCUCAAAAGGUUGUUUCGAGAACUGAUGGAUCCUCAAAGAUCUCUCCCGUUUGUCAUUAAAGCACACGUAUAUCUGGCUGUGAGUUGUCACAAGUAUUGACCCGUUUAAAUGAAUUGCUCUAUUAAAUUAUUUAUCAUUUUUGUUAGAUUCAGUUAUUAUAAUUUCUUGUGUAAAUUUCAAAAUCGUUAGUAAAAACGUACUCUUGUCACUAAUGUUGCUACUUUUUCACACAACUAAUAUCAACUGCCAUUUAUGUACUUAGCCCUGUGGACAUUAUACCGAAGGUACGUUGCUUCAAGCCCCGCUUCACAAUAUAUCAACUCAAAUAUAUGUUUGAUAAAAUGCUGGUUAUUUUGAUUUUUGACAGCAUUGUUUGGAGUACUUGGUCCAUUGGAUGAUGUCAUUAUAGCCCUUAUCUUUUUCCUACAUGUUGGCACCCUGUAUCGGGCUAUUCUUGUGUGCCGUUAUGGAGGAGCUGCAAUUAUGCUUCAUCUGAUAUUGAUACAAUAUAGAGAUUGUGAUCUUUGUAUAAUGAUGGGAAAGAUUGUUUCAGUUGCAAGACGUACAAGUUUUCAUUUUUAUUAGUCUUAAAGAGUGUUGGUUAGUCA